CACGGACCUUAGGGCUGGAGGUUUUUCUUCUCCUAAUUUCUUAGUCGUAGUGCCUGGCCUCUGAAUAGUUUUGCAUCUGGUUCCGAUGCUGGGAACUGUUGCGUCUACGAGGGAAAAAAUAAAUUCAGCGUCCAUUUUGAAAUGGCUCCCCAGAACCCACAAAAUGAGAAAGUACUCAAAGCUAUUCCACGUUUAGGAAUGUAGCCCAUGGACACUUGCACAUGCGCACAAGAAAGCUAAAGCCGCAUCCGCUUUGGGGAGAGAGAGAGACAGAGCAUGAACGGGAGAGGGGCAGAGAGAGAGGGAGACACAGAAUCGG
This is a long non-coding RNA of Felis catus (domestic cat), 319 nucleotides long. RefSeq lists it as uncharacterized. The transcript is spliced from 3 exons. Lineage: Eukaryota; Metazoa; Chordata; Mammalia; Carnivora; Felidae. The record is from RefSeq and is a predicted model, not a curated record.